This 1485-nucleotide ribosomal RNA is filed under the name metagenome. RNAcentral's name for it is "bacterial SSU rRNA". It matches the Rfam family "Bacterial small subunit ribosomal RNA". The record is from RNAcentral.
AGAGUUUGAUCCUGGCUCAGAGUUAACGCUGGCGGUGUGCAUAAUACAUGCAAGUCGAGCGGGACACAUAGCGUAGCAAUACGAAGUGUGUUUAGCGGCAGACGGGUGAGUAACACGUGAGAAAUCUGCCUUCAAGUGGAGGAUAACGCGCCGAAAGGCGCGCUAAUACUCCGUACUAUCCCUAGAGGACAUCCUCAGGGGAUGAAAGCCUUCGGGCGCUUGAAGAGGAUCUUGCGGCCUAUCAGCUAGUUGGCGGGGUAAUGGCCCACCAAGGCUACGACGGGUAACCGGACUGAAAGGUCGAACGGUCACAGGGGCACUGAGACACGGGCCCCACUCCUACGGGAGGCAGCAGUAGGGAAUUUUGGACAAUGGGGGAAACCCUGAUCCAGCAACACCGCGUGGAGGAUGAAGGCCUUCGGGUCGUAAACUCCUUUUGUCUCCGACGAAAACUCCGCAAGGGGUCUGACGGUAGGGGAUGAAUAAGCCACGGCUAACUUCGUGCCAGCAGCCGCGGUAAGACGAAGGUGGCGAGCGUUACUCGGAAUCACUAGGCGUAAAGCGCGUGUAGGUGGGUGCUUAAGUCCGUCGUGAAAUUUCCCGGCUUAACCGGGAAGGGUCGACAGAUACUGGGCAUCUUGAGUGAGGCAGGGGGUACUGGAAUUCCCGGUGUAGCGGUGAAAUGUGUAGAUAUCGGGAGGAACACCAGUGGCGAAGGCGGGUACCUGGGCCUCUACUGACACUAAGACGCGAAAGCUAGGGGAGCAAACAGGAUUAGAUACCCUGGUAGUCCUAGCUGUAAACGAUGGACACUAGGUGUGGGAGGUAUCAACCCCUUCCGUGCCGACGCUAACGCAUUAAGUGUCCCGCCUGGGGAGUACGGCCGCAAGGUUAAAACUCAAAGGAAUUGACGGGGACCCGCACAAGCGGUGGAGCAUGUGGUUUAAUUCGACACUACGCGAAAAACCUUACCUGGGCUCGAACGACUGGUGUUAGUUCUGUAGAAAUACGGAAUGACCCGCAAGGGAGCCAGCCGAGGUGCUGCAUGGUUGUCGUCAGCUCGUGUCGUGAGAUGUUGGGUUAAGUCCCGCAACGAGCGCAACCCUCGUCCCAUGUUGCUACCCCGCAAGGGGAGGACUCUUGGGAGGCUGCCGCGGAUAACGUGGAGGAAAGUGGGGAUGACGUCAAAUCAUCAUGGCCUUUAUGUCCAGGGCUACACACGUGCUACAAUGGCGCAAAACAGAAGGACGCAAGACCGCAAGGUGGAGCAAAUCCUCAAAGUGCGCCUCAGUUCAGAUCGCGGGCUGCAAUUCGUCCGCGUGAAGGUGGAAUCGCUAGUAAUCGCGCAUCAGAAAUGGCGCGGUGAAUACGUUCCCGGGUCUUGUACACACCGCCCGUCACGCCAUGGAAGCUGACUGCAACAGAAGUGGUCCGCGAGGAUCCCGAAGUUGUGGUUGGUGACUGGGGCGAAGUCGUAACAAGGUA